RNAcentral lists this ribosomal RNA (577 nucleotides) under uncultured fungus. RNAcentral describes it as "eukaryotic LSU rRNA". The stretch from base 157 to 310 matches the Rfam family "5.8S ribosomal RNA". Lineage: Eukaryota; Fungi. The record is from RNAcentral.
CUUUCCAUCUCGAAAGAUCUUUUCCAUUGUGCUGGCUUUGACUGUAUUGUCAUUUUAGGGCUUAAACAUGGUGUUAUGCCGGCCCUAAAAAACAUUAUACCAACCUUAUGAAAAUUGACUGAACAACUAAAACAAUUGAUAAUUUUGUUUAAAAACAACUUUCAACAACGGAUCUCUUGGUUCUCGCAUCGAUGAAGAACGCAGCGAAAUGCGAUACGUAAUGUGAAUUGCAGAAUUCAGUGAAUCAUCGAAUCUUUGAACGCACAUUGCACUCCUUGGUAUUCCGAGGAGUAUGCCUGUUUCAGUAUCAUGAGCACUCUCACAACUAAUCUUUGUUGGUUAAGAUUGUGGAAUUGGGAUGCGCCAAUUGUUAUUGAUUGGCCCUCCUAAAAUGUAGCUCUUGACUGUGGACUGCUACAGUAGUUUGGCCUAAUAGUUUUGGCAGUUAUAUGUCAAAUCUUUGGCUACAUUUACUUUGGUCCAUGCAGUCUUGAUAUACAGAAAACUCUAAAUACAACUUUGAUCUGAAAUCAGGUAGGGCUACCCGCUGAACUUAAGCAUAUCAAUAAGCGGAGGA